This is a long non-coding RNA of Megalops cyprinoides (Indo-Pacific tarpon), 608 nucleotides long. RefSeq lists it as uncharacterized. NCBI's taxonomy places the organism in Eukaryota, Metazoa, Chordata, Actinopteri, Elopiformes, Megalopidae. The record is from RefSeq and is a predicted model, not a curated record. The transcript is spliced from 4 exons.
UGGUCCAUAAAUUAUACCAGAAUACCAUCAGCCUGGCCAUUCAACAUGCCAAUAAAGACGCCCAGAAACACAUGAAUUAUGCUGGCAUUAUGGCACGCAAUGAGAAAGAAGGCCACUUGGAACUGAAAGUUUAUCUGAGACCCACUACGUGUUCAAAGACUGGAGUAGACGAACAUCGAGAGGAAUGCCCAUUUUCUGAAACAGCGCGUACAGUCUGCAUUGUCUGUGGCACAAUAUCUGGCUCUAGCCUUCAGAAGUCCUACACCGACUGCAUUCCUUUUAAGAGAAUCAGUGAGAGGGAAGCCAUUUGGAAAGUUGAAUGUACUCCCAGGCACCACCCAGGCAGUAAGGUGCUAUAUUCACAUCCCGGGGAGGGAGAAAAGAGCAGGCAGUCACUGUUAAUGGACAUGUUAGAUUUGCUUGGAUUGUUGAAUCAAAUGUUGCUUGCUAUUAUUUCAAAUGUUCAGACAUUAUUGCAGUGAUUAUUAUGAUCACUUCAGACAACGCCAAACACUUCUAAUGCAAACGGCCAAUUCAUCUGCAGCAGCUGUUGCCUGGUUUCAUGUGUUUUGAUUAUUCAGGUAUAUAAAUGGAAGAUGUGUCUUGGA